CUCUCUUUGUAAUAUUUAUAUAAGGAGUUGGGCCUGCUCGGUGAAUAAUUGUUUUAACAGCUGCGGUAUUUUAACUGUACUAAGGUAGCAUAAUAAUUUGCCUUAUAAUUUGAGGCUAGAAUGAAUGGUUUGACGAAGGUUAAUCUGUCUCUAUCUUAUUUUUUAGAAUUUAAUUUUAUAGUGAAAAAGCUUUAAUUUUUUAAAGGGACGAGAAGACCCUAUUGAGCUUAUAAUUUUAUUAUUAUUAUAGAUAUUUAUUUUUAUAGUGAUAUAUAAAUUUUAGUUGGGGUGAUUAAGGAAUAAAUUUAACUUCCUUAGAGUAAAUAUUAUUUGAUUAAGUAACCAAUAUAUUAUUGCUUUUAUUAUAGUUACCAUAGGGAUAACAGCGUAAUUUGUUUAGAGAGUUCUUAUUGAAAAAUGAGAUUGCGACCUCGAUGUUGGAUUAAAGUGACCUUAAGGUGAAGAAGCUUUAGUUAGGUAAAUCUGUUCGAUUUUUAAAACUUU
RNAcentral lists this ribosomal RNA (504 nucleotides) under Galiteuthis sp. JMS-2004. RNAcentral's name for it is "partial 16S ribosomal RNA". It matches the Rfam family "Bacterial large subunit ribosomal RNA", at positions 1817 to 2597 of the family's 2925-position model. Lineage: Eukaryota; Metazoa; Mollusca; Cephalopoda; Oegopsida; Cranchiidae. The record is from RNAcentral.